RNAcentral lists this ribosomal RNA (311 nucleotides) under uncultured eukaryote. RNAcentral describes it as "partial large subunit ribosomal RNA". It matches the Rfam family "Eukaryotic large subunit ribosomal RNA", at positions 40 to 350 of the family's 3401-position model. The record is from RNAcentral.
AUAUAAUUAAGCGGAGGAAUAGAAACCAACAGGGAUUCCCCCAAUAGCGGCGAGCGAAAAGGGAACAGCCCGAGAUGUGAAUCGAAGUGGCUUGCUGCUUCGAGUUGUGCAUCAUGGUCUUUACCAGCAAGUUUGGACGUCUAAGGUGCCUGGAAAGGCACGCCACAGAAGGUGAUAGCCCUGUCUUUGGCGUUCAAAGCUUACGUACGGUACUGAUCAAUUGAGUCACGCUCUUUGGGAGUAGAGCGCAAACAGGGUGGUAACCUCCAUCCAUGGCUAAAUAUUGACAAGAGACCGAUAGCGCACAAGUA